This 1055-nucleotide ribosomal RNA is filed under the name uncultured Bacteroidota bacterium. RNAcentral describes it as "bacterial SSU rRNA". It matches the Rfam family "Bacterial small subunit ribosomal RNA", at positions 8 to 967 of the family's 1533-position model. The record is from RNAcentral. Lineage: Bacteria; Pseudomonadati; Bacteroidota.
AGAGUUUGAUCCUGGCUCAGGAUGAACGCUAAGGCUUAAUACAGCAAGUCGAACGGCAGCACGGGUAGCAAUACCUGGUGGCGAGUGGCGCACGGGUGCGUAACACGUAUGCAACUUACCCUUUACCGAGACAUAACCCAUCGAAAGGUGAGCUAAUAUCUCAUAAUAUUACAUUGAGGCAUCUCAGCGUAAAAGUUCCGGUGGUAAAGGAUAGGCAUGCGUCCCAUUAGCUAGUUGGUAGGGUAACGGCUUACCAAGGCGACGAUGGGUAGGGGUUCUGAGAGGAAAGUCCCCCACACUGGUACUGCUUACCAAGGCGACGAUGGGUAGGGGUUCUGAGAGGAAAGUCCCCCACACUGGUACUGCUUACCAAGGCGACGAUGGGUAGGGGUUCUGAGAGGAAAGUCCCCCACACUGGUACUGAACACGGACCAGACUCCUACGGGAGGCAGCAGUAAGGAAUAUUGGUCAAUGGGCGCAAGCCUGAACCAGCCAUGCCGCGUGCAGGAAGACGGCCUUAUGGGUUGUAAACUGCUUUUGUGAGGGAAAAAACUGGGGUACGUGUACCUCAUUGCUUGUACCUUACGAAUAAGCAUCGGCUAACUCCGUGCCAGCAGCCGCGGUAAUACGGAGGAUGCGAGCGUUAUCCGGAUUCAUUGGGUUUAAAGGGUGCGCAGGCGGACCAAUAAGUCAGUGGUGAAAUCCCAUAGCUUAACUAUGGAACUGCCAUUGAUACUGUUAGACUAGAGCGUAGAUGACGUACGCGGAAUGCGACAUGUAGCGGUGAAAUGCUUAGAUAUGUCGCAGAACACCGAUUGCGAAGGCAGCUUACGAAACUACAACUGACGCUCAUGCACGAAGGCGUGGGGAUCAAACAGGAUUAGAUACCCUGGUAGUCCACGCCCUAACGAUGAUUACUCGUUGUUGGCCUGUACAGGUCAGUGGCUAAGGAAACCGAUAGUAAUCCACCUGGGGAGUACGAUCGCAAGGUGAAACUCAAAGGAAUUGACGGGGGCCGCACAGCGAGAGCAUGUGUUAUCGAUGAUACGCGAGAC